GAUGAACGCUGGCGGCGUGCCUAAUACAUGCAAGUCGAGCGAACAGAUGAGGAGCUUGCUCCUCUGACGUUAGCGGCGGACGGGUGAGUAACACGUGGAUAACCUACCUAUAAGACUGGGAUAACUUCGGGAAACCGGAGCUAAUACCGGAUAAUAUAUUGAACCGCAUGGUUCAAUAGUGAAAGACGGUUUUGCUGUCACUUAUAGAUGGAUCCGCGCCGCAUUAGCUAGUUGGUAAGGUAACGGCUUACCAAGGCAACGAUGCGUAGCCGACCUGAGAGGGUGGUCGGCCACACUGGAACUGGGACACGGUCCAGACCCCUACGGGGGGGCGCCGGAGGGAAUCUUCCGCAAUGGGCGGAAGCCUUACCGGGCAACGCCGCGUGAGUGAAGAAGGUCUUCGGAUCGUUAAACUCUGUUAUUAGGGAAGAACAAAUGUGGAAGUUACUAUGCCCGUCUUGACGGUACCUAAUCAGAAAGCCACGGCUAACUACCUG
Molecule: ribosomal RNA, 497 nt
Filed under: uncultured bacterium
Lineage: Bacteria
Description: partial 16S ribosomal RNA
Rfam family: Bacterial small subunit ribosomal RNA
Source: RNAcentral